RNAcentral lists this ribosomal RNA (497 nucleotides) under uncultured bacterium. RNAcentral describes it as "partial 16S ribosomal RNA". It matches the Rfam family "Bacterial small subunit ribosomal RNA", at positions 28 to 507 of the family's 1533-position model. The record is from RNAcentral.
GAUGAACGCUGGCGGCGUGCCUAAUACAUGCAAGUAGAACGCUGAAGCUUGGUGCUUGCACCGAGCGGAUGAGUUGCGAACGGGUGAGUAACGCGUAGGUAACCUGCCUCUUAGCGGGGGAUAACUAUUGGAAACGAUAGCUAAUACCGCAUAAAAGUCGAUAUCGCAUGAUAUUGAUUUGAAAGGUGCAAAUGCAUCACUAAGAGAUGGACCUGCGUUGUAUUAGCCAGUUGGUGAGGUAACGGCUCACCAAGGCGACGAUACAUAGCCGACCUGAGAGGGUGAUCGGCCACACUGGGACUGAGACACGGCCCAGACUCCUACGGGAGGCAGCAGUAGGGAAUCUUCGGCAAUGGGGGCAACCCUGACCGAGCAACGCCGCGUGAGUGAAGAAGGUUUUCGGAUCGUAAAGCUCUGUUGUAAGAGAAGAACGAGUGUGAGAGUGGAAAGUUCACACUGUGACGGUAACUUACCAGAAAGGGACGGCUAACUACGUG